This is a non-coding RNA of Kogia breviceps (pygmy sperm whale), 1633 nucleotides long. NCBI's taxonomy places the organism in Eukaryota, Metazoa, Chordata, Mammalia, Artiodactyla, Physeteridae. The record is from RefSeq and is a predicted model, not a curated record.
UACCCUUAUUGUCCCCUUUCUAGUGCCUACCUACCACAAACUAAAUGCUUAAUACUUGGCUUGAGUUGAUGAUGUCCUAGAAGAUGUGAAUUUCUAGUGGGUAUUAACUAUAUCUGCUGCUGAGAUGAAGGGAAAGGCAAGUUCCCUGCAACAAAGUACAGGGCCAGAUGAAGGGAGAGUGAAGAUCAUUUUUCAUAAUGUCACCCUAUAAAUAUUUUGAAGAGAUUCUAUUGCUAUAAACCAUAAACACAUCCCUGUUGGGAAAGACAGGAGCAGUGUUUUCUGAUUAUAAGGAGUGUUUGUUGGAGCUACAGGCGUGUGGAAGCAAUUUCAGGAACAUCGUUGCGAGGAGUCUCUGGCAGAGAGAAUUCAAACAACUGCCAUAGGAAAUGGGGUACAGCCUUCACAGGACAUAUAUGCUAAAAUACAGAGUGGAAUGUUGUCCUGAUGUUGGAUGGGAUUCUCAGGUGAGAAGCUAGUUUAUCAGUACUGUGAAAUACUUAGACUUUCACUGCCAGAAAAUUAAGAUUGUAAUCUCCUUGAGGACCAAGACCCUCUUCUUUCUUAAUUUCUCCCUACCUGCCUUCUGGGCAGGCCUGGGAUGGGGUUCCAAGCCUGACACUGAAAUGCGGAAACAGGGAAACCUUUUACAACACACAGUAUGCUCUUUUCUUCAACCCAUCAAAGUAUCCAGAAUUUGGCUGUGAUAAAUCUCCUUCAACUCCCUCUUUUUACAGGGGGGUGAUUGGGCCAAAAAGGUGGAGUAGCUUACCCAUGUUUCCAUGGUGAGCCUGAGGUAGUGCCAGAACGAGGACUCACUUCCCAUUGACCUCUGUCUACUUCAUGAGGCAGGUGUGUUUAAAUAGAACACUGGGUUUCUGAAGUUGCAUAAGAAAACAGUUGAAUCUGAAGAAAGACAGGCCUAAACCAAGGCAAUGUAGGGCAUUGGGAAGCAGGGCAAUUGUGGGAAUGGGAGACCCAAUCUUGCUUGGAAUCUGUGUGUCGCCAGCGAAUGUCUUUCAUCCCCAUUAUUAGUUAGCUGGUUAAUUAGCUGGUAUUGGUCUACAGCUGGUUAAUGGCCUUACAUAGAAUAUAAUUUUCAUCACUGGGCUCUCUGAAGGGUAUAUUUUUGGCUUACCAUUCUCUAUAGUCUGACUUUUCGACCCAGUGUUUCAGUGGAAAUUUUCCAGAGCAUUGACAUUUCAAAAUGCAAGAGCAAGAGGAAGAAUAGAAAUCACAGCCUUAAAACAAAUGAGACAGGAGCUACUAGUCCAUUCUAGUCCCCAUCCCAGCAUCCCGUUCUCCACCCCCUCAGAAAUACAUCAGCAUAUCUGGCAGAGCUGGGUUUCACAAAACAAGAUGCACAGCUUGAUGAAACAGGGAUGCUGAUGGAGGCAGUGAGAGGAGGCAGAGGUGGAGUGGAGAGCGAAGAGGGAGAAGGGGUGGUCUGGAUGCUAGCUGAAGAAGCCUUAAUGAUCCUAAAAAUUAUUGGGCAAUAAUUGCUACCUUGGAACUCACUUUGCUGUUCCAAAGAAUGAUAAAGCACCUUAAUUAUUGCUUUAUAUAACCACACAGCUCCAUCAAAACAGCAUGAAAUAGCACCCACGUAUGAGCAAACUUAUCUACUGCCAUU